RNAcentral lists this transfer RNA (72 nucleotides) under Mesorhizobium sp. LNJC398B00. RNAcentral describes it as "tRNA-Phe". RNAcentral also lists the same sequence under 1 other name. Lineage: Bacteria; Pseudomonadati; Pseudomonadota; Alphaproteobacteria; Hyphomicrobiales; Phyllobacteriaceae. The record is from RNAcentral.
UUCCGGGUGUAAGCGUUUAUGAGCGGACUGAAAAUCCGCGUGUCGGUGGUUCGAAUCCGCCUCUGGGCACCA